GACGAACGCUGGCGGCGUGCUUAACACAUGCAAGUCGAACGGAAAGGCCCUGCUUGCUGGGUACUCGAGUGGCGAACGGGUGAGUAACACGUGGGUGAUCUGCCCUGCACUUCGGGAUAAGCUUGGGAAACUGGGUCUAAUACCGGAUAGGAACCAUCUUUAGUGUGGUGGUUGGAAAGUUUUUUCGGUGUAGGAUGAGCUCGCGGCCUAUCAGCUUGUUGGUGGGGUAAUGGCCUACCAAGGCGGCGACGGGUAGCCGGCCUGAGAGGGUGUACGGCCACAUUGAGACUGAGAUACGGCCCCGACUCCUACGGGAGGCAGCAGUGGGGAAUAUUGCACGAUGGGCGCAAGCCUGAUGCAGCGACGCCGCGUGGGGGAUGAAGGCCUUCGGGUUGUAAACUCCUUUCGCUCGGGACGAAGCUUUGUUGUGACGGUACCUAGAUAAGAAGCACCGGCUAACCACGUG
Molecule: ribosomal RNA, 466 nt
Filed under: uncultured bacterium
Lineage: Bacteria
Description: partial 16S ribosomal RNA
Rfam family: Bacterial small subunit ribosomal RNA
Source: RNAcentral